This 373-nucleotide unclassified non-coding RNA is filed under the name soil metagenome. RNAcentral describes it as "partial contains 5.8S ribosomal RNA, internal transcribed spacer 2, and large subunit ribosomal RNA". The stretch from base 1 to 121 matches the Rfam family "5.8S ribosomal RNA", at positions 35 to 154 of the family's 154-position model. The record is from RNAcentral.
GAUGAAGAACGCAGCGAAAUGCGAUAAGUAGUGUGAAUUGCAGAAUUCCAGUGAGUCAUCGAAUCUUUGAACGCACAUUGCGCCCUUUGGUAUUCCGAAGGGCAUGCCUGUUCGAGCGUCAUUAUCACCCCUCAAGCCCUCGGCUUGGUGUUGGACGGUUUGGUGGAGGCCCCCUCGGGGGCUCCUGCCCCUCCCAAAGACAAUGACGGCGGCCUCGUUGGACCCCCGGUACACUGAGUUCUUCACGGGACACGUAUCGGACACAUGGGUUUACGGGACACGGUCUGCCUCCCCUCAGGGAGAAUCUUUCUAAGGUUGACCUCGGAUCAGGUAGGGAUACCCGCUGAACUUAAGCAUAUCAAUAAGCGGAGGA